GCCAGGCACCGUGGUGCAUGCCUGUAAUCCCAUCAGCUCGGGAGGCUGAGACAGGAGCAUCUCGACUUCAAAGCCAACCUCAGCAAUGGCAAGGCACUAAGCAACUCAGUGAGAUCCUGCCUCUA
This 125-nucleotide small RNA is filed under the name Marmota monax (woodchuck). The record is from RNAcentral. Lineage: Eukaryota; Metazoa; Chordata; Mammalia; Rodentia; Sciuridae.